UCGCGAAAACUUUACAAUGCUGGCAACAGCGAUAAGGCAACCUCGAGUGCCAGGUUACAAAUCUGGCUGUCGAGAUGCCUAAAAAUCAUUUCAUAGCAAGAGCCGGGCAAGACCGGUGCCAGCCGCCACGGUAACACCAGCAGCUCGAGUGGUAACCGUUAUUAUUGGGUCUAAAGGGUCUGUAGCCGGCCAGAUAAGUCUCUUGAGAAAUCUGGCAGCUUAACUGUCAGGCUUUCAGGAGAUACUGGCUGGCUCGAGGCCGGGAGAGGUGAGAGGUACUUCAGGGGUAGGGGUGAAAUCUUGUAAUCCCUGAAGGAAUACCCGUGGCGAAGGCGUCCUACCAGAACGGACCUGACGGUAAGGGACGAAAGCUAGGGGCACGAACC
This 386-nucleotide ribosomal RNA is filed under the name uncultured prokaryote. RNAcentral describes it as "bacterial SSU rRNA". It matches the Rfam family "Archaeal small subunit ribosomal RNA", at positions 339 to 725 of the family's 1478-position model. The record is from RNAcentral.